This 649-nucleotide ribosomal RNA is filed under the name uncultured bacterium. Its description in RNAcentral is "bacterial SSU rRNA". It matches the Rfam family "Bacterial small subunit ribosomal RNA", at positions 140 to 807 of the family's 1533-position model. The record is from RNAcentral.
GGGAUAACAGUUGGAAACGACCGCUAAUACCGCAUAAGCCGGAAGGAUCGCAUGAUCCGGCCGGAAAAGAUUUAUCGGUGUGAGAUGGACCCGCGUCUGAUUAGCCAGUUGGCAGGGUAACGGCCUACCAAAGCGACGAUCAGUAGCCGGCCUGAGAGGGUGAACGGCCACAUUGGGACUGAGACACGGCCCAAACUCCUACGGGAGGCAGCAGUGGGGAAUAUUGCACAAUGGGGGAAACCCUGAUGCAGCGACGCCGCGUGAGUGAAGAAGUAUUUCGGUAUGUAAAGCUCUAUCAGCAGGGAAGAAAAUGACGGUACCUGACUAAGAAGCCCCGGCUAACUACGUGCCAGCAGCCGCGGUAAUACGUAGGGGGCAAGCGUUAUCCGGAUUUACUGGGUGUAAAGGGAGCGUAGACGGCCAGACAAGUCAGAAGUGAAAGCCCAGGGCUCAACCCUGGGACUGCUUUUGAAACUGCCGGGCUGGAGUGCAGGAGAGGUAAGCGGAAUUCCUAGUGUAGCGGUGAAAUGCGUAGAUAUUAGGAGGAACACCAGUGGCGAAGGCGGCUUACUGGACUGUAACUGACGUUGAGGCUCGAAAGCGUGGGGAGCAAACAGGAUUAGAUACCCUGGUAGUCCACGCCGUAAAC